Molecule: long non-coding RNA, 457 nt
Filed under: Pongo abelii (Sumatran orangutan)
Lineage: Eukaryota; Metazoa; Chordata; Mammalia; Primates; Hominidae
Description: lincRNA
Source: RNAcentral
UACGUUCUGUCCUUCUGCAGCCAUCUAAAAUCAGCCAGAAAGGUUUAGGAUCCCAUUUCCUGUUCUUGCAUCGGCUGUCCCAGCUGCUGUUCCUCUCUCUGCAGUAAGAGGGUGUUUCUCUCCCUAUUCAAGAGGAAUGCCAACACUUGAGGACAGUAUCAUCCCUAGACCUCAGCAAGAGAGACCACUGAGUGAGGCAUCCAUGGAACCCAAGGAAGAGGCCUAUGAAGAACCUGCAGUCACCUUCUAGACCAUUAUCCCUUACCAAACUGUGUCCCCUCCAGAGCUGAGGACUGGAUGUUCCCAUGUUGACACCUCCAGCGGGAAAGAAAAUUCUAGAUUCAGCUCUGGGUGUCCAAGUCAUUAUGGAGGCAUAUUUGUCAAGGUGGAAGAAAAGGACAUAUUCUAUUUAGCAGUUUGUAAGUUUGAUCGAUAACUUUAAAAUAUUUGGACCUAU